Long non-coding RNA from Mauremys reevesii (Reeves's turtle), 757 nucleotides. RefSeq lists it as uncharacterized. The record is from RefSeq and is a predicted model, not a curated record. The transcript is spliced from 3 exons. NCBI's taxonomy places the organism in Eukaryota, Metazoa, Chordata, Testudines, Geoemydidae.
GAGGAAAAAGGUGGUUGUGUGAGAGAGGGUUUGCAGAGAGUGGUUUCCUCCAGCAGACUGGUGAGAAGCUGCCAGACAAACAAAUACUCCAAAAAGGGAGAAACAGGAUAGGAGGCAAGGGAAGACUACAGAGACUUUAUAUAAAAUCUUUUGAGGUCUAAUCCACAGUGCGAGGAAGUCCAAAGAGAGUUGUUCCAUUGACUUCAGUAGUUUUUUGAAUCAAGCACUAAAAGAAGACAUUUUAAGGCCUACUGAAGGAGAGACAGACAAAACACCAGAGAGGAGAAAAACCACAUCGGGCUUAGAAAGUUGGACUCAAACAGGCCUACUGAUUUAGAGCCUGAUCCUGCACCACUGGGGGAAGUUGGACAGUGUUAUUCUCUAAACACAGCCCAUCCAUCAUUCUAAGGCCCUGGUGGCUACUGUAUGUAGUUAUUAAAAUAUGAUUAAUCAUAAAGGCAGGACACUUGAUUCUGAAGGCAGCUGAAUGUUCCUGCUGUUCUUCUGGCCAUAAAACUUCAGUAACUUUGUGAAAAAUGUGACUCUCUUUCCCCUCCUGGACCGUGUUAUAAUAAAUGUAAAGUCCACAAAUGAAAUCAUGGCUCCAGGGUGCUAGGUGCUUUACAGACACAAUUGCUACUCUGAAGAGCAUACCAUCAAGGCUGCCAACUGUCUGAUCACACAAACCCAAACACCCUUGCCAUGUUCCCUACCCUGCCCCUUCCCCACCCCUUCUCUGAGGCCCCGCUCCUCUCAC